GUGGGGAAUAUUGCACAAUGGGCGCAAGCCUGAUGCAGCCAUGCCGCGUGUAUGAAGAAGGCCUUCGGGUUGUAAAGUACUUUCAGCGGGGAGGAAGGGAGUGAGGUUAAUAACCUUAUUCAUUGACGUUACCCGCAGAAGAAGCACCGGCUAACUCCGUGCCAGCAGCCGCGGUAAUACGGAGGGUGCAAGCGUUAAUCGGAAUUACUGGGCGUAAAGCGCACGCAGGCGGUCUGUCAAGUCGGAUGUGAAAUCCCCGGGCUCAACCUGGGAACUGCAUUCGAAACUGGCAGGCUGGAGUCUUGUAGAGGGGGGUAGAAUUCCAGGUGUAGCGGUGAAAUGCGUAGAGAUCUGGAGGAAUACCGGUGGCGAAGGCGGCCCCCUGGACAAAGACUGACGCUCAGGUGCGAAAGCGUGGGGAGCAAACAGG
This 430-nucleotide ribosomal RNA is filed under the name bacterium. RNAcentral describes it as "bacterial SSU rRNA". It matches the Rfam family "Bacterial small subunit ribosomal RNA", at positions 354 to 776 of the family's 1533-position model. The record is from RNAcentral.